Molecule: ribosomal RNA, 492 nt
Filed under: uncultured bacterium
Lineage: Bacteria
Description: partial 16S ribosomal RNA
Rfam family: Bacterial small subunit ribosomal RNA
Source: RNAcentral
AGUGAACGCUGGCGGUAGGCCUAACACAUGCAAGUCGAACGGCAGCACAGUAAGAGCUUGCUCUUACGGGUGGCGAGUGGCGGACGGGUGAGGAAUACAUCGGAAUCUACUUUUUCGUGGGGGAUAACGUAGGGAAACUUACGCUAAUACCGCAUACGACCUACGGGUGAAAGCAGGGGAUCUUCGGACCCUGCGCGAUUGAAUGAGCCGAUGUCGGAUUAGCUAGUUGGCGGGGUAAAGGCCCACCAAGGCGACGAUCCGUAGCUGGUCUGAGAGGAUGAUCAGGCACAAUGGAACUGAGACACGGGUCAGACUCCUACGGGAGGCAGCAGUGGGGAAUAUUGGACAAUGGGCGCAAGCCUGAUCCAGCCAUACCGCGUGGGUGAAGAAGGCCUUCGGGUUGUAAAGCCCUUUUGUUGGGAAAGAAAAGCAGCAGGUUAAUACCCCGCUGUUCUGACGGUACCCAAAGAAUAAGCACCGGCUAACUUCGUG